This 466-nucleotide ribosomal RNA is filed under the name uncultured Allostella sp. Its description in RNAcentral is "bacterial SSU rRNA". It matches the Rfam family "Bacterial small subunit ribosomal RNA", at positions 8 to 505 of the family's 1533-position model. The record is from RNAcentral. Lineage: Bacteria; Pseudomonadati; Pseudomonadota; Alphaproteobacteria; Rhodospirillales; Allostellaceae.
AGAGUUUGAUCAUGGCUCAGAACGAACGCUGGCGGCAUGCCUAACACAUGCAAGUCGAACGCUUUUGGGGUUUCGACCUCAAGGGAGUGGCGCACGGGUGAGUAGCGCGUGGGAACCUGCCCUGUUGUGGAGGAUAACCGAGGGAAACUUCGGCUAAUACCGCAUGCGCCGGGAGCGAUCCCGGGAAAGAUUUAUCGCAGCAGGAGGGGCCCGCGUCGGAUUAGCUAGUUGGUGGGGUAACGGCCUACCAAGGCACCGAUCCGUAGCUGGUCUGAGAGGAUGAUCAGCCACACUGGGACUGAGACACGGCCCAGACUCCUACGGGAGGCAGCAGUGGGGAAUAUUGGACAAUGGGCGCAAGCCUGAUCCAGCAAUGCCGCGUGAGUGAUGAAGGCCUUAGGGUUGUAAAGCUCUUUCGCCCGCGACGAUGAUGACGGUAGCGGAGAAGAAGCCCCCAGAAUUCGCG